This 7095-nucleotide long non-coding RNA is filed under the name Nicotiana tabacum (common tobacco). RNAcentral's name for it is "long non-coding RNA (NTAB_LNC010571)". The record is from RNAcentral. Lineage: Eukaryota; Viridiplantae; Streptophyta; Magnoliopsida; Solanales; Solanaceae.
AUGAAUUUCUCUAAUUGCUACUUAAUUGAUCCCUUACCUUAUUUUGUUAAGCUUUUUGAUUACAAUAUAAACUCCCUCUUAGUUUAACUUCAACAACGAACAAUGGUUCAAAACUACUACUUUUUACACUCUAAAAGGCUCUCUCUCUACUCUCUGUGCUACUUGUUAUCCCUGUUAUUCUAGCCGACUGCAAGCCAAGAUUGGGAAUUGCAUAAUACCUUGCUCACAUCUUGUGUUUUCUUUCUUUAACUAGGUAUGCUCCUGAUUAAUUUUUGAGAAUCAAAACCUAUGUGUUUACUUACUGCUUUAGUUCAUAUGGCUUGAGUUUAUUCUUGCUCCUGUUUACUGCUUACCCAGCCUGCCUAAUACUGCCUAUUCAAAUCUAUGACCAGAAUGUUUCCACUCUACUUAUUUGUUUGUUAUUUUAUUUGACAUGUCUAAAUAUGUAACUGGCCUGUUUGACUGACUUCUAUUUAUAUAACAUGCCUAUACUAUGCCUUUGUGUAAUUAGCAUGCCAUCACCUGUCUUUGCCUGUUCUGCCUCACUCCUGCUAAGUUAAUUACUCUCCCUAGAAUGGCCUCAACAUGUUUCUACUGUGACUUUUGCUACAUGCUAUAUAACCUACUAGUUCUAUAGAACCCUUCAAAACUCUAUGGAUCAUGGUGUUUGUAUGCUCAAUUGAGAUGUAUUCUCUAUGUUCCCAACCCCUCUUCCUUUGUGUGAAAGAUGUUCUUAAAGCUUGUUUUGUUCUAUGACUUGUGCUUAGAUUGAAAAUUGUUUCUUUACACUCUCCUCAAAGUGUUUUAUAACUAAGUCAGUACUGGUUUUUCAGAAAUUCUUUUCAAUACCGAGGCAUAUCUUUAUACUGUCUAUUAAACUCUUUCAAACCACUAUACAUUUUCACUUACUCUUAGAACACUAGGUCCUGCCCCUAUAAUAUAUGUACUGCCUUGAGAUCCUUAAGAUCUCUCUGAGCUCUAGCAUGUCAAGGCUGGUCUUUCCACACUGCACCUAAAUCAGUUAUUAUUUGAGAAAGGUUUAGGCGUGAGCACUGCCCGGGAUCCUUGAAGUCCUUAGGGAACUCUAACAUACCUAGACAUGGAAUUGGCUAUGAACUUUGGUCAUUUCAGACUACUGGAGGCUUGGAAGUCAUUUGGGCCUACUUCAGGCUCCCUAUAGAUUAAUUUCUGUUUUAUUUAUGUAAUUUUUAUUUAAUUCAUUGGUCUGUAAUAUUUUUUGUAAACAAACAGUGGGGUGAUUUGUGAAAAAGGAAGGGUAGUUAUAGAUUGUGGGUAAAAUUGGGUAGAUACCAUGCCUAUAGGGUCCAUGUUGGUUCAAAUAUGUUUGUUAUGUUUGUGUUACUUCCACACAGUUAGAAACCAUGCCUAUAGGAUCUAAACUGGCUUUAAUAAUAGAGAUCCUGCCUAUAGGGUUAAAAUCAGCUCUAUAGAAAUCAUGCCUAUAGGGGUUUCACUUUGGUUAAAUGAAGGUUGUUUGUUUUAUCCUUCUUAAUUAGAAAUCGUGCAUAUAAGACUUCAAAUAGUUCAGUUAGAAAAGUCAGUUUAAUUCAUGUUUAUAUAUUCUGAAUUGGUUCAGUUAACUAAUCUGUCUUUAACAAGUCUCCAACGCUGCCUUAAGUAACAUUGUUAUAAAUCAUGCCUAUAGGAUCCAAAUUGUUGUUUAAAUUGUUUUACUGUUUUACUGCAUUCCUAAUCAAUAUAGAUAUCAUGCUCAUAGGACAUCACUAUUAUGCGCCUAGGAAAUCCUCUAGGGCGAUUAAAAUUCUGCAAACAAUAAAAAUGCACCUUGUUAUUUGAGACUGCUCACAUUCAACAGGUUUAAGAUCAGUAGGCAAGCUGAAUAGGUCUUUGACACUUUGGUUCUAAUUCAAUACUGUAUAAUCUCUGCUCACCUAGAUAUCAUGUUUUAGGGUUUUCUCUUAACUACUUGAAACUUUUGUUUGAGAUGUACACUUACUCGUUAUAUUUGUGGAGGUGAAUGUGAGCCUGUAAUUGUUCUCUUUGAAUGCAGUCCUAAUUGUUUUGAUUGGCGCUUAGACUUUUCUCCUUUAAAUACCUUAGGAUGGUCUAGAACUACCUAAAUUAGAGGUCCUAAAUACCUCCAGGGCCACGAGGAAGGGAUGGGUAGUGCACGCAUAGGGUAUCUUUCAAGGUUGCUAGAACGCUUUAGGCUAUAACCAUGGGGAGGGAAUUGGUUAGUAAGAAAUAUGAUGACUACGUGAUAAUGUCACGUGUAGCUCCUCGUUGAGGAGUGAUUGCCGGGCAUUGUGUGGGUGCGAUCCUCUAGGCCAACCAACCUAUGACCCCUCUUUCCCAACUCCCGUUGUUUAAAUGAGUUUGUUUUUUCUUUACAUAAGCACAAGUUAUUAAAAUUUCUCUCUUGUUCCAUUAGUUGAGUCAUACAUGUGUUUAAAAUGUCAAAACAUGUCUUUGCUUGCAAAUACGUGUUAAAACUAUUUAUUUGUAAAAAUGACUAAUUCACAUAGUUUAAGUUCGGACGGGACCCACCAUUGUGGACUGCGAGGGGCGCCUAACACCUUCCUCUCAAGGUUAUUUCGAGUCCUUACCUUAAAUCACUGGUAAUGCAAACUAGUCCAUGAGUCAAUUGCUCAAGGUGACUUAACGCACCAUAAUCUGUUAGGUGACGGCUCUUCAAAUACCCAAUUCCAAAAAGGAAACGAGUCAUUCCCCCCCAUGAAUGUCAAAACCCGGACAUCCCCGUCAAAAAGGGAAAAAAGGGGCGAGACAGCAUGGCGACUCUACUGGGAAUAUUUUUUAGGUUCUUACCAUAACGAACUUAUCUUUUGAGAAUUAGUUCAAGCAUGCUCUAUCCCACGUACCCUUUCCCCUUAUUUUAAUUUAACUAUUUAUUUUCAAGAAUUUAUGAUUUCUUUUCCUGAAACUGACUUGUCUCCUUGUUUUCUUUUUCUAUAACUGUCUCUUCAAAUUUAAAUACUGCAUUUAUUAUUAUUGUUUUACGUGCAAAUACUUGACAACAUGCUAUUUAUUGCUGCAUAAAUCAUGCUCAACAUCAUACUCCACUCGUGCGUAAUUAAUCUUAUAGUAACGCUUGAUGGGUGUUUGUGCUCUUUCUAUAUAUCACUCUUUAAAUUCGGAAAGGCGUAUUUACAGUAAAACUAGUCGAUCAGCGGUGCGUUUGACGGUUAUGUGCCUUUCCCCCUCAAGUUGUCCGCUUGAGGGUCCCAGUGUAGACUUCUAUAGCAACCUUACUCUGAUUAAAUUGUACAUGCAUCAUGGUCAAACCUAGCCGGGUUAAUGUGUGACCCUUUAAGACAAGCCUUGUCCCAAGUCAAUCGGGUUUUCCAUAAUCCCAACGGACAUAACCACGAUUAUGUGCAUUAAUUCGGAGAAAUAAGUGCCAAUAUGCUAAUCAUUACUGUAAAAAUAGACGAGCCUGGAGGGAGAGGGGCCUAACUCUAUUUGUUUUUGUAGAAAAUGAGGCACGAGGUCCCCAGAUUUGGUAUGGUUAGCACACCCUCAUUUUUACAAGAAUAGUGGAAGGAUCUUCCUUCAUGUGACCAAAACCAUAUGAAACGAGUCCUAGGAAACUUGCCUUCUCUGAUGGAUUUUCAACUCAACAAAAUGUUGAUCGAGGCUGCAACUAUGUUUUGGGACAAGGAAAGGGUUGUGUCCGUUUUAGGAACAUAUAAAUGACACCCUUCUAGAAGAAAUAGGAGGAUAUGUUGGGUUACCUUGGGAUAGUCCUAAUCUGUUAGCACCUGAAAAUCGCACUGCUAGGGGAUUUCUGAAGAUGAUAGGGCUGAAGAAAAAUGACAACUUGAAAUGCCUAAAGGACUCCUACAUACCUUUUGAGUUCCUUUAUGAAAGAUACGGUUACAGCAGCUCCUACCGUCUUUUUGAUGAUGAGUUCUCAAUCACUUAUUUGGGUUGGAUUCAUCGUAGGGUCUUCGUGUUUAUUAUGUGUUUCUUGGGCAUGUUGGUGUUCCCAAUCCAAGGGGAUAUGAUCCAUACUAGGCUGGCCAUGGUAACAAAAACUCUGAUGGACGGGAUCGAGGGAGAGACAUACACUAUCCUCCCUAUGAUUGUUGUAGACAUGUACUGGGCUUUGGAGCGAUGUCAGAAGGGGUUCAGGUUCUUCGAGGGUUGUAACUUGCUGCUACAGGUCUGGUUGUUGGAGCUUCUCCAAAAGGGGCAAUACCGUCAAGAAUUUCCGCGAAGGCCGUGAAAUGAUCACAUAGCCUUCAAUCAUCCCAGAAGAAUGAACUAUAUUCCAGACAUGUUUGCUCAGCAAGAGGACACUGCAGGAUGGGUACAACGUUUUUAAAAUUUGACUAAGGAUCAAGUCCAGCGGAUGUUCGAGUGGUUCCCUACCGAUGAAUUCAUCAUCAGAUCCAGGAAUUUUUCGCACUUGGUGUUGAUCGGGUUAAGGGGCAUAUACCCUUACGCUCCUCUCAGGGUUAUGAGGCAAACAGGAAGGAGACAAAUCGUACCACUGGUCGCCAAAAUAUGUCACUUUAGAGCUAAUUUCCAAGGUGACGCCAUCCCGUAUAAGAAUGAAGCGCAACACAUGUGGACCUUGAAGAUCAUUGUGAAGAAGGAUACUAUUGAGCCAGACCGAUAUCACGCGGGACACUCUUACCUUUGCCCUUCGUGGUUGGAGGACAACAUAACUGGUGUCGUUUAACCAAGGGCUAGCCCAGGAAACAGGGUUAUAGAUGAGGUUGCUGAAGUAGAGGUAAAGUACAAUAAGUUGCAAAAAAGAGUUCGAGAGUUUGAAGCCGAGCAUAUGGCACUGCACAAGGCUGAUAUGGAGAUGAUUAACGAAUGGAAAGAAAAAGCUGUUAAAUCCAGCAAGAGGCUGGAAUACCUGGAAUACAGUUUAAUGUAGUUGGAAGGGAAGAUGAGAAAAAGGGUUACUGACUGCCAGAACGCUGAAGGGAAUGAAGGAGGGCAACUUGCAAGGGCAUUCCUGCUGCUGAAUCUGUGCGAGAUGGGAGAAUUGAUCGACAAGAACAUCCAGUCUGGAGAGGGUCCUUCUGGGACCAAGUAGAUUAGAUUUGCUUUCCUUUCAAAUGUAAUAAGCCCAUGAUCCAUUAGUAACACUAUCUUAUUUAGUUUCGUUUUGGUUCGUUUAUUUUUACUUUAAUGAAAUGAGGCAAUUAUUGGCACUAAGUUUCUCUAAAUUUAUUUGUCGCUAGGCCUACCUCGGGCACAACAAGGCUCCCAAAUUAGGACACGAAUUUAUAUUCUCGCAAUAUGUGUUUAAAAAUUACAAACAUUUCAAAAUCCUUACUGACUUAUUUACCUUUUCGUUUUUCUUUAUUUCUUAUUUCCAUCUCCUGAGGUUGGUUCGCUCAUACUGGUCGUCACACCUCCUUUUUAUCACCCGAGGGGGUAUAGGGGAAUUUUUCCAAUUUAAGUGACAAUCGAAACGAGAUUAUUUAUUUAAAGUUCAGAGUCGGCACUUGGGAUAGUUUAUUGGGGUCCCAAGUCACCGGUUUAGAAUUCCGAAUCGAGGAAAGAUUGACUCAGUUUUAUAGUCUACGAAUACAAAAAUUCAGGUAAGAAAUUUUGUUAACCCGGGAGAAGGUGUUAGGCAUUCCCGGGUUCCGUGGUUCUAGCACGGUCGCUCAACUAUUACAUUGACCUAAUUAUCUGAUUAAUUACACAUUUUAAACCUACGUGCAUUUUUAACUUUAAAACUGCUUUUAAUUAUUAAAGGAAUUAUUUCAAGGUUAUUUAUAACACAUCGCAAGCCACGCUACAUGAAAUGCACCCGUGAUUCAUGACACUUUCUAUUUAACCUUGUUGGAAAUUAGAACCGGGUCACAUGAAAUGUACCUCCGGAUUUAGCAUGUUUAUUUCUAUUAUUAUUAUUUAAAAUUAUGAUAUGGUCACAUAAAAUGCACACCUGGAUUUUAGUAAUUACAAAUCACAACUACGUCACGGGAACCAUACCCGUAUUCAUGAUAAUUUAUUUAGACGCGUCUAAAGCAAGCUACGAUGUUCAUAAGUAUUUUCUAAAGCUAAUUUAAGAUUAUUAUUGUAAGAUCAUGAACUAUGGAAUUAUUUAGAAGAAGUGUAGUAAAUUAGUUAUGGAAAGGUGGGCUAGCUUAAUCCUAAAAAAGAAAUAAAUCUAGAAAGGUUCAUUUGACCCAACUCUAUUAAAAAUAACAUGAUAAAAAUUAAUCCCAAAACCACUGAAGCAAAUCGAAUCAGCCCCAAAACUUUUACAAACCACUAAUAGUGACUACAUUAUAUAAAUGUAUUAGACAAAUUCAUGAUACUAGUACUAAUAAAAUACGAUUCUGGCAAAAAUUGAAGAAUAAAGUAAUACUAAACAAAUGGAAAAGAAAGGAAAUUAAGACAAAUUCAAAAAGGACAAAUCACCAUUUAAAAUAUGCUAAAGGAAAAUACACGGUUGUAUGCUCAGCGCUAGAAAAUGUUGUCAUGAGAAUUAAAAUAUGUAAAAUACCUCAAAUAUCUGAUUCGGCCAAUCAUUUGUAGUCAAUAAAAGCUUGUGAUGGUGAUGAAGAAUUGCAAGACAUUUUCCUGCCGGCUUUCAUUUCAGAAUUUCAAUCACUUAUGCGAAAGUUGAACGGAUCGUAUGACCGCCGAAAAAUUGACCUUACGGAUACGAGAACGGUGGCAGGCGUACUCAUCUUUGAGCUUUGCUUUUUCAAGAACUCAGAAAAUUAAUAGUACAUAGACACAAUAUAUAUAUGUAAAAAGACAAAGAGAAAACAGAAGCUCAAGAAACUGAGGUAUCAGAAAUUCUUGGAAAUGAAAAGACAAAAAAAAAUUGAAACUUUAUGCCAAAGAAUUGGCACUUGCACUGCAGGAAAGCAAGAAAGCAUGAAAAAUAAGAAAAAAGGGGUUUGGUUUUUCGUCCGAAACUUGGCUUCAGAAAUUAGAGAUCGAAAGAUUUUUUGUUCAAUCUUUCUCUUUCAAGUUUUUGUAUCUCUUUUGGAGUACUACCGUUCUUGCUUUUGGAUUUAGGUUCGCCGUUUUUUCUUUUUUUUAGUCUAGGUCUAGUAAUUGAAAAACAUAGGGUAGGGUUUUUAUAAUUGGGUAUUUUAUAUGAAGGUGAGA